AUGCUUAACACAUGCAAGUCGAACGAGGUAGCAAUACCUAGUGGCAGACGGGUGAGUAACACGUAGUCAACCUACCUCUUUGUGGGGGAUAACUAGCCGAAAGGUUAGCUAAUACCGCAUGAGAUCGUCGAGCGGCAUCGCUUGACGAUGAAAGCAGUAAUGCGCUGAGAGACGGGACUGCGUCCCAUUAGUUAGUUGGUGGGGUAAUGGCCUACCAAGACUCCGAUGGGUAGCUGGCUUGAGAGAGCGACCAGCCACACUGGAACUGAGACACGGUCCAGACUCCUACGGGAGGCAGCAGUGGGGAAUAUUGGACAAUGGGCGCAAGCCUGAUCCAGCAAUGCCGCGUGUGUGAAGAAGGCCUUCGGGUUGUAAAGCACUUUUAUCUGGAACGAAACACGCAAGGUUAAUACCUUUGCGGACUGACGGUACCAGAGGAAUAAGCACCGGCUAACUUCGUGCCAGCAGCCGCGGUAAUACGAAGGGUGCAAGCGUUACUCGGAAUUACUGGGCGUAAAGCGUGAGUAGGUGGUUUCUUAAGUCUGCUGUGAAAGCCCCGGGCUCAACCUGGGAAUUGCAGUGGAUACUGGGGAGCUAGAGUGCGGUAGAGGGUAGUGGAAUUCCCGGUGUAGCGGUGAAAUGCGUAGAGAUCGGAAGGAACACCAGUGG
RNAcentral lists this ribosomal RNA (669 nucleotides) under uncultured bacterium. RNAcentral describes it as "bacterial SSU rRNA". It matches the Rfam family "Bacterial small subunit ribosomal RNA", at positions 44 to 715 of the family's 1533-position model. The record is from RNAcentral.